RNAcentral lists this ribosomal RNA (461 nucleotides) under uncultured bacterium. RNAcentral describes it as "partial 16S ribosomal RNA". It matches the Rfam family "Bacterial small subunit ribosomal RNA", at positions 28 to 506 of the family's 1533-position model. The record is from RNAcentral.
GACGAACGCUGGCGGCGUGCUUAACACAUGCAAGUCGAACGGUGAACCUCUUCGGAGGGGAUCAGUGGCGAACGGGUGAGUAACACGUGGGCAACCUGCCCCCGGCUCUGGGAUAACUCCAAGAAAUUGGGGCUAAUACCGGAUGUUCACCGCUUCCCGCAUGGGUGGUGGUGGAAAGGGUUUCCGGCUGGGGAUGGGCCCGCGGCCUAUCAGCUUGUUGGUGGGGUAGUGGCCUACCAAGGCGACGACGGGUAGCCGGCCUGAGAGGGUGACCGGCCACCGGGGGAGUGGGAAGCGCCCAAGCCCCCUAGGGGGGGAAGGAGGGGGAAUUUGUGCGAAAGGGGGGGAAGCCUGCCGCAGGGCCCCCGGGGGGGGAGGACGGCCUUCGGGUUGAAAACAUUUUUCAGCAGGGACGAAGCGAAAGGGAGGGAACCGGAAGAAGAAGCCCCGGCCAAAUACGG